GACGAACGCUGGCGGCGUGCUUAACACAUGCAAGUCGAACGAAAAGAGGGAAAGAGCUUGCUCUUUCCGGAAUUGAGUGGCAAACGGGUGAGUAACACGUAAACAACCUGCCUUCAGGAUGGGGACAACAGACGGAAACGACUGCUAAUACCGAAUAAGUUCCAAGAGCCGCAUGGCCCAUGGAAGAAAAGGUGGCCUCUACCUGUAAGCUAUCGCCUGAAGAGGGGUUUGCGUCUGAUUAGCUGGUUGGAGGGGUAACGGCCCACCAAGGCGACGAUCAGUAGCCGGUCUGAGAGGAUGAACGGCCACACUGGAACUGAGACACGGUCCAGACUCCUACGGGAGGCAGCAGUGGGGAAUCUUCCGCAAUGGGCGAAAGCCUGACGGAGCAACGCCGCGUGAGUGAUGACGGCCUUCGGGUUGUAAAACUCUGUGAUCCGGGACGAAAAGGCAGAGUGCGAAGAACAAACUGCAUUGACGGUACCGGAAAAGCAAACCACGGCUAACUACGU
RNAcentral lists this ribosomal RNA (512 nucleotides) under uncultured bacterium. Its description in RNAcentral is "partial 16S ribosomal RNA". It matches the Rfam family "Bacterial small subunit ribosomal RNA", at positions 28 to 506 of the family's 1533-position model. The record is from RNAcentral.